AUUAGAUACCCGUGUAGUCCCAGCUGUAAACGAUGCGCGUUAGGUGUAUCGGUGACCACGAGUCACCGAGGUGCCGAAGGGAAACCGUGAAACGUGCCGCCUGGGAAGUACGGUCGCGAGGCUGAAACUUAAAGGAAUUGGCGGGGGAGCACCACAACAGGUGGAGCCUGCGGUUUAAUCGGACUCAACGCCGGGAAGCUCACCGGAUAAGACAGCUGAAUGAUAGCCGGGUUGGAGACUCUGCUUGACUAGCUGAGAGGUGGUGCAUGGC
Molecule: ribosomal RNA, 271 nt
Filed under: uncultured archaeon
Lineage: Archaea
Description: partial 16S ribosomal RNA
Rfam family: Archaeal small subunit ribosomal RNA
Source: RNAcentral